AAUUUAUCAUCUUAAGACUGAAGAAUGGUAAUUUUUCAAUACAUACAAAUCGAACAUUGCUCGCGUGUUUAUAACUUUGUUUUCUUAUUAUUAUUUAAUUUCGAAUAUGAUAUCCUUAAAAUAUAACAAUUAAAAUUACUUCAAAACACCGCGUGCUUACUAGAAACUUAAUCAACUCAACUUCAGUACAUGUUGUCGUCGUCGUCGUCGUAUUCGUUGUUUGAAUGAACGAUUAUAUUGUAUCCAAUAUUUACGCUGCUUUAAAAUUUCGUUCCGACGACGUUUAUUUACCAAUGAUAAAGUUUCAUACAUAUACAUACGAGUAUAAUCGAUUAUUUAAUAUAAAGUCUCGUAUCUCCUUCCA
Non-coding RNA from Cinara cedri, 364 nucleotides. Lineage: Eukaryota; Metazoa; Arthropoda; Insecta; Hemiptera; Aphididae. The record is from the annotation of a GenBank genome assembly.